This is a long non-coding RNA of Pristis pectinata (smalltooth sawfish), 329 nucleotides long. RefSeq lists it as uncharacterized. The transcript has 3 exons. The record is from RefSeq and is a predicted model, not a curated record. NCBI's taxonomy places the organism in Eukaryota, Metazoa, Chordata, Chondrichthyes, Rhinopristiformes, Pristidae.
GGGAUCGAGGCGCGCGGGAGUCCCGGGGCGGUGGAGCCCGCGGCGGGUCGGCGCUGGGUUGCAGCGCGCCCGGUGCAUCUGCAGCGUGCAUGUUGCCUCACUACCUUGAGCCCAUCUCGGUUCCCCGACGAAGCAAGACAGGCACUCUCGGUCUACAAGAUGCUGCCUGACCUCCAUGUGUUUCCAGCAUUUUCUGUUUUUAUUUCGGCUUUCCUGGCAUCUGCAGUUUUUUGUUUUCACUCCGUGACAGCACUGCGUAGAGUGACUGCUGUGUUUCCUACAUUACAACUGAGACACAAGAGACUGCAGAUGCCGGAAUCUGGAGCAAA